GGGGAAUUUUCCGCAAUGGGCGCAAGCCUGACGGAGCAAUACCGCGUGGGGGAGAAAGGCCCUUGGGUUGUAAACCCCUUUUGUCAGGGAAGAACACAAUGACGGUACCUGACGAAUCAGCCUCGGCUAACUCCGUGCCAGCAGCCGCGGUAAGACGGAGGAGGCAAGCGUUAUCCGGAAUCAUUGGGCGUAAAGCGUCCGUAGGUGGCCCCUCAAGUCUGCUGUUAAAGCCCAGGGCUCAACCCUGGAGAAGCAGUGGAAACUGGAGGGCUAGAGUGCGGUAGGGGUAGAGGGAAUUCCCGGUGUAGCGGUGAAAUGCGUAGAGAUCGGGAAGAACACCAGUGGCGAAAGCGCUCUGCUGGACCGCAACUGACACUGAGGGACGAAAGCUAGGGGAGCGAAUGGGAUUAGAUACCCCAGUAGUC
Molecule: ribosomal RNA, 425 nt
Filed under: uncultured cyanobacterium
Lineage: Bacteria; Bacillati; Cyanobacteriota
Description: bacterial SSU rRNA
Rfam family: Bacterial small subunit ribosomal RNA
Source: RNAcentral